UACAGAGGUCCCAAGCGUUGUUCGGAUUCACUGGGCUUAAAGCGUGUGUAGGCGGGCGGGCAAGUACCUUGUGAAAUCCCACGGCUCAACCGUGGAACGGCUGGGUAUACUGCCUGUCUUGAGCCAACUAGGGGCGAGCGGAACAGACGGUGGAGCGGUGAAAUGCGUAGAUAUCGUCUGGAACGCCAAAGGUGAAAACAGCUCGCUGGGGUUGUGCUGACGCUGAGACACGAAAGCCAGGGGAGCGAACGGG
This 253-nucleotide ribosomal RNA is filed under the name uncultured bacterium. Its description in RNAcentral is "partial 16S ribosomal RNA". It matches the Rfam family "Bacterial small subunit ribosomal RNA", at positions 524 to 776 of the family's 1533-position model. The record is from RNAcentral.